Molecule: transfer RNA, 73 nt
Filed under: Apaloderma vittatum (bar-tailed trogon)
Lineage: Eukaryota; Metazoa; Chordata; Aves; Trogoniformes; Trogonidae
Rfam family: tRNA
About the family: Transfer RNA (tRNA) molecules are approximately 80 nucleotides in length. Their secondary structure includes four short double-helical elements and three loops (D, anti-codon, and T loops). Further hydrogen bonds mediate the characteristic L-shaped molecular structure. tRNAs have two regions of fundamental functional importance: the anti-codon, which is responsible for specific mRNA codon recognition, and the 3' end, to which the tRNAs corresponding amino acid is attached (by aminoacyl-tRNA synthetases). tRNAs cope with the degeneracy of the genetic code in two manners: having more than one tRNA (with a specific anti-codon) for a particular amino acid; and 'wobble' base-pairing, i.e. permitting non-standard base-pairing at the 3rd anti-codon position.
Source: Rfam by way of RNAcentral
GGCCAGUUAGCUCAGUCAGUUGAGCAUAGCGCUAACAACGCCAAGGUCGCAGGUUCGAUUCCUGUUCGGUCCC